This 301-nucleotide ribosomal RNA is filed under the name uncultured bacterium. RNAcentral's name for it is "partial 16S ribosomal RNA". It matches the Rfam family "Bacterial small subunit ribosomal RNA", at positions 509 to 807 of the family's 1533-position model. The record is from RNAcentral.
CAGUCGCCGCGGGAAUACGUAGGUGGCAAGCGUUGUCCGGAAUUAUUGGGCGUAAAGCGCGCGCAGGUGGUUUAAUAAGUCUGAUGUGAAAGCCCACGGCUCAACCGUGGAGGGUCAUUGGAGACUGUUAAACUUGAGUGCAGGAGAGAAAAGUGGAAUUCCUAGUGUAGCGGUGAAAUGCGUAGAGAUUAGGAGGAACACCAGUGGCGAAGGCGGCUUUUUGGCCUGUAACUGACACUGAGGCGCGAAAGCGUGGGGAGCAAACAGGAUUAGAUACCCCGGUAGUCCCUGUCUCUUAUAC